UUAAGUUCAGCGGGUAUUCCUACCUGAUCCGAGGUCAAACUUUCAGAAGUUGGGGUUUAACGGCGUGGCCGAGCCGCGCUCCGGUGCGAGGUUUCAAAAGUUACUACGCAGAGGAGGCUGCGGCAAGACCGCCACUGAAUUUAGGGGGCAGGGGCCCGAAGGACCCUGAUCCCCAACACCGGGUCCCCUGAAGGGGUCCC
RNAcentral lists this unclassified non-coding RNA (200 nucleotides) under Hypomyces sp. Its description in RNAcentral is "partial internal transcribed spacer 2". The record is from RNAcentral. Lineage: Eukaryota; Fungi; Ascomycota; Sordariomycetes; Hypocreales; Hypocreaceae.